AGACCCUCAGUCAAACCAAAAGAAGAAAAUUAAUUACGUCCAAACCUUAGGGGGCUGAGGGUUGAGUAAAGUCAGUUCCUUUCUGCUCUAUGACUUUCCAGUUUUCAGCUUUUUAAUUUUGUCUAUGCUUUUACACAGCAAAUGGCAAAGGAAUCCUUUCCUUUCCUCUCCAAAGGCUAAACUGCUGCUGUUAAACCACGGGCCGUCCUAGUUCUAUCAUUAUCUUUGUUUU
RNAcentral lists this unclassified non-coding RNA (232 nucleotides) under Hevea brasiliensis (rubber tree). The record is from RNAcentral. Lineage: Eukaryota; Viridiplantae; Streptophyta; Magnoliopsida; Malpighiales; Euphorbiaceae.